GAUCCACUCCCUCCUCGAACGACUCGCCACCUCGCCCACGCGCGCGCGCGGCAGCAGCAGCAGCAGCAAUGGCCACCUCCUCUCGAGCACGCGGCAGCGUCGCGCUCGCCGCCAUUGUUGUCGUCGUCGUCGUCGGGGGGUCUUUUCUGUUGGGGGUGGCGGAGGCGGCGGGCGCGGGGGAGGUGCGGGCGCUGCUGGACCUCGGGGCGGCGCUGGACCCGACGGGGAGGCUGCUGCCGUCGUGGGCGCCGGGGAGGGACCCGUGCGGCGGCGGUGGAGGAGGGUUCGAGGGCGUGGCGUGCGACGCGUCGGGCGCCGUGGCGAACGUGUCGCUGCAGGGGAAGGGGCUCGCCGGGUCGCUGCCGCCGGCCGUGGCGGGGCUCCGCGGCCUCACGGGGCUGUACCUCCACUACAACAGGCUCACCGGCGCGCUGCCGCGCGAGCUGGCGGGGCUCACCCGGCUCACCGACCUCUACCUCAACGUCAACAACUUCUCCGGCGCCAUCCCGCCCGAGAUCGGCGCCAUGGCCUCCCUGCAAGUGGUGCAGCUCUGCUACAACCAGCUCACCGGGGGAGUGCCCACGCAGCUGGGGCUCUUGAAGAGGCUCAGCGUGCUGGCGCUGCAGUCCAACCACCUGAACGGCGCCAUCCCGGCCAGCCUCGGCGACCUGCCCCAGCUGGUGCGCCUCGACCUCAGCUUCAACAACCUCUUCGGCUCCAUCCCCGUCAGGCUGGCGCAGCUGCCCCGCCUCGCCGCCCUCGACGUCAGGAACAACACCCUCACCGGCAGCGUGCCUUCGGAACUGGCGAAGCUGCAGGGUGGAUUCCAGUAUGCGAACAACACUGAUCUGUGCGGCACCGGCCUGCCUGCGCUCCGGCCGUGCACGCCGGCCGACCUCAUCAGCCCCGACAGGCCACAGCCAUUCAGCGCCGGCAUAUCGCCGCAGAUCACACCGGGGUCCCCCGAUGGCCAUGGGCGUUGCAGCGGGGCUCGCUGCCCCCCGUCCACAAAGGCGCUCGCCGCCGUCGUUGUCAUCGCAGUAAUUCUUCUUGCGGUGACCGCGGCUGGUCUCUUCGCGUUCUCUUGGUACCGAUGGCGCAAGCAAAGGGUUGCGGGCUCACCGGUGGUUGUGGGUGGCCGGUGCAGUACCGAGGCUGCUGUUAAGGAGUCAUUUCGCAAGAGCGUGUCGUCCACGCUUGUGAGCCUUGAGUACUCGAAUGGUUGGGAUCCAUUGGCCGAUGGGAGGGGCGGCGCUGGGUUCUCCCAAGAGGUGGCCCAGAAUUUCAGGUUCAACAUGGAGGAUGUCGAGUCCGCGACUCAGUACUUCUCAGAGCUGAACCUUUUGGGGAAGAAUGGCAACUUUGCAGCCACAUACAGGGGUACAUUGCGAGAUGGGACAUCCGUCGCCGUCAAGCGGCUUGGCAAGACUUGCUGCAAGCAAGAGGAGUCCGAGUUCCUCAAGGGAUUGAAGCUGCUUGCCAAGCUGCGGCACGAGAAUAUUGUUGGCUUGAGGGGUUUCUGCUGCUCCAGAGCGAGAGGGGAGUGCUUCCUCGUCUACGACUUUGUGCCGAACGGGAGUUUGUCGCAGUUCUUGGACAUCAAUGAUGAAGUUGCUCGCAGCAAUGGCCGUGUUCUCGAAUGGUCCACGAGGAUUUCCAUUAUCAAGGGCAUUGCCAAAGGAAUUGAGUACUUGCACAGCAAUAGAGCAAACAAGCCCCCUCUUGUUCACCAAAACAUAUCAGCUGACAAAGUUCUGGUGGACUACACCUACAAGCCUCUGAUAUCUGGUUCUGGCCUGCAUAAGCUCCUUGUCGAUGACCUAGUUUUCUCGACACUCAAAGAAAGUGCUGCCAUGGGAUACCUCGCCCCGGAGUACACUACCAUCGGUCGGUUGUCAGAGAAGAGCGAUGUUUAUGCAUUUGGGGUAAUUGUAUUUCAGAUACUUACCGGUAAAAGCAAGAACGCGCAGCUGCCUGUUGAGUCUGAUAACAUCGAAGAUCUCAUUGACAGUAACCUAAAAGGAUGUUACUCGGCAGUUGAAGCAGCUAAGCUGGCAAAGAUUGCAUCAGCCUGCACCAGUGAAAAUCCAGACCAUAGACCUACGAUGGAAGAGUUGCUCCAAGAACUGUGCACCUUAUGAUCAUGGGCAUCAUCCACCUGUAAGUGUCCAUGCUGAGCCACAUGCCUGACAGUGCCAUGAGCUUGUAACCUACCUAUCUAGGAUCACUAAUCACUGAUCUUAGAGGCAUACCCGAGGUACCAAUUAAAUGACCUAGGAUCCUGAGAUCUUGUAUCAUGCUAAUGUUUGUAUUAGUGUUAUUACCAGUGCCCCGAAAAGCGUGCAUCGAUUAGCCUGGAUGUUCUCCAUGUUAGGUGAAUGCAGCCAUUUGUUUGCUCAGCUCUUGUGACUCCAAAGUGUACCAUCAAUCAGUACUGUGUACCAGCUUGGAUGGAUCCUGUGAUGGUUCCAUCCAGGGAGGAAGAGCCAAGAAUCCUGGAAUGCAUGUGAGGUAUACAUUGUUGUGUUGCCUUGUUUGUUUGCUCAUCAGCUCAUGCUUGGGUGCAACCUUGUGAUCACACAUGUGUACAGGGUGAUGAAAUCUCACUCAGCCCAGAAAAGUACAAGGUGGUCCUGCUUUUUUUUUUCUUUUUACUUUUUUGGUGCUAACUAGCUGCUAAGAGGCCGGACAAAAUAUAGACAACAAGCGAGAAAAUUAUGUGUUAUGUAUGUACUGGCAGUCAACAACAGUAGCUCCAGAAAACCCAAGGGAUCACGAAGAUUGAGGAGAUCUAUUCUGUCAUCCAUGGAGGGCCACUGACGACAACGGAAGGGGCGGCGCCCUGGGUUUGGCUGUCAGGGAAGGGGACAGGAUACUGUUCAUGAUGAAAAGUAACGAUGGGGAGGUGAUUUUUUUUUAAACGAAGGGAUACGUGUGUAAUGUGUGACAUUGGUGGGUAAUUACCCCUCAACUCCAUAUUUAGGUUGAUAAGAUUGAUUUUUGGAGCAUCCUUGAGGAGCUCCAGAAAAAACAUGGAGUUGGCCUCCAACUUCAGGAUUUUUU
Oryza brachyantha (malo sina) is the source of this 3063-nucleotide RNA transcript. It is a transcript of the gene named LRR receptor-like serine/threonine-protein kinase GSO2, with no coding region annotated. Lineage: Eukaryota; Viridiplantae; Streptophyta; Magnoliopsida; Poales; Poaceae. The record is from RefSeq and is a predicted model, not a curated record. The transcript is spliced from 5 exons.